This 1553-nucleotide ribosomal RNA is filed under the name Yersinia pestis PY-63. RNAcentral's name for it is "bacterial LSU rRNA". It matches the Rfam family "Bacterial large subunit ribosomal RNA", at positions 1327 to 2856 of the family's 2925-position model. Lineage: Bacteria; Pseudomonadati; Pseudomonadota; Gammaproteobacteria; Enterobacterales; Yersiniaceae. The record is from RNAcentral.
AACCCGCACGCCGGAAGACCAAGGGUUCCUGUCCAACGUUAAUCGGGGCAGGGUGAGUCGACCCCUAAGGCGAGGCUGAAAAGCGUAGUCGAUGGGAAACAGGUUAAUAUUCCUGUACUUGGUGUUACUGCGAAGGGGGGACGGAGAAGGCUAGGCUGGCCGGGCGACGGUUGUCCCGGUUUAAGCGUGUAGGGGGAGUGACCAGGUAAAUCCGGUUGCUUAUCAACCCUGAGGCGUGAUGACGAUGCACCACGGUGCAGAAGCAGUUGAUGCCAUGCUUCCAGGAAAAGCCUCUAAGCAUCAGGUAACAUUAAAUCGUACCCCAAACCGACACAGGUGGUCAGGUAGAGAAUACUCAGGCGCUUGAGAGAACUCGGGUGAAGGAACUAGGCAAAAUGGUGCCGUAACUUCGGGAGAAGGCACGCUGGCGUUAGGUGAAAGGACUAGCUCCUGGAGCUGAAGCCAGUCGCAGAUACCAGCUGGCUGCAACUGUUUAAUAAAAACACAGCACUGUGCAAACACGAAAGUGGACGUAUACGGUGUGACGCCUGCCCGGUGCUGGAAGGUUAAUUGAUGGGGUCAGCCGCAAGGCGAAGCUCUUGAUCGAAGCCCCAGUAAACGGCGGCCGUAACUAUAACGGUCCUAAGGUAGCGAAAUUCCUUGUCGGGUAAGUUCCGACCUGCACGAAUGGCGUAAUGAUGGCCAGGCUGUCUCCACCCGAGACUCAGUGAAAUUGAACUCGCUGUGAAGAUGCAGUGUACCCGCGGCAAGACGGAAAGACCCCGUGAACCUUUACUAUAGCUUGACACUGAACAUUGAGCCUUGAUGUGUAGGAUAGGUGGGAGGCCUUGAAGUGUGGACGCCAGUCUGCAUGGAGCCAACCUUGAAAUACCACCCUUUAAUGUUUGAUGUUCUAACUCGGCCCCAUGAUCUGGGGUGAGGACAGUGUCUGGUGGGUAGUUUGACUGGGGCGGUCUCCUCCCAAAGAGUAACGGAGGAGCACGAAGGUUAGCUAAUCACGGUCGGACAUCGUGAGGUUAGUGCAAAGGCAUAAGCUAGCUUGACUGCGAGAGUGACGGCUCGAGCAGGUACGAAAGUAGGUCUUAGUGAUCCGGUGGUUCUGAAUGGAAGGGCCAUCGCUCAACGGAUAAAAGGUACUCCGGGGAUAACAGGCUGAUACCGCCCAAGAGUUCAUAUCGACGGCGGUGUUUGGCACCUCGAUGUCGGCUCAUCACAUCCUGGGGCUGAAGUAGGUCCCAAGGGUAUGGCUGUUCGCCAUUUAAAGUGGUACGCGAGCUGGGUUUAGAACGUCGUGAGACAGUUCGGUCCCUAUCUGCCGUGGGCGUUGGAAGAUUGAGAGGGGCUGCUCCUAGUACGAGAGGACCGGAGUGGACGAAUCACUGGUGUUCGGGUUGUCAUGCCAAUGGCAUUGCCCGGUAGCUAAAUUCGGAAGAGAUAACCGCUGAAAGCAUCUAAGCGGGAAACUUGCCUCGAGAUGAGUCUUCCCUGGGGCUUAAAGCCCCCUGAAGGAACGUUAAAGACUAUGACGUUGA